UUGAGGAAUUGGGGGGGGAGCACCGCAACGGGAGGAGCGUGCGGUUUAAUUGGAUUCAACACCGGAAAACUCACCAAGGGAGACCAUCACAUGAAAGCCAGGCUAAUGACUUUGCUUGAUUCUUGGAGAAGUGGUGCAUGGCCGUCGUCAGUUCGUACUGUAAAGCGUUCUCUUAAGUGAGAUAACGAACAAGACCCUCACUUAUAAUUGCUAACUAGAUCUCCGGAUCUGGUGCACAUUAUCGGGACCGCUGGCGCUAAGUCAGAGGAAGGAGAGGUCAACGGCAGGUCAGUAUGCCCUGAAUCUCUUGGGCUACACGCGCGCUACAAAGGGCGGGACAAUGAGUUCCGACACCGAAAGGUGAAGGUAAUCUCCAAACCCGUCCGUAGUUCGGACUGAGGGUUGUAACUCACCCUCACGAAGCUGGAUUCCGUAGUAAUCGCGAAUCAACAACUCGCGUAUGCA
Molecule: ribosomal RNA, 465 nt
Filed under: uncultured bacterium
Lineage: Bacteria
Description: bacterial SSU rRNA
Rfam family: Archaeal small subunit ribosomal RNA
Source: RNAcentral